Molecule: long non-coding RNA, 693 nt
Organism: Zingiber officinale
Lineage: Eukaryota; Viridiplantae; Streptophyta; Magnoliopsida; Zingiberales; Zingiberaceae
Exons: 3
Source: RefSeq, a predicted model, not a curated record
GGAGCCUCAAUGUGGUACGUCAAUAGUUUCAUCUAUUCCAGAAUCAGUUGACAAUGAUAAUACUUCAACAAAUAUGAGUGAUUUGAAAAGAUAAGCAAUCAUAGCGAAGUAUAAAAAACAAAAGGCACAAGUUUUUGGUGAUGGCAAUAUGUCAGAAUUAGACAAGUAUCUUAAUGAAAUAGUUGAAGAAUAUUGUGAUACUUUUGACAUUUUGGGAUGGUGGAAGCAAAAUUGUCACAGAUUUCCUAUCCUUUCUCAAAUUGCUCAUGAUGUAUUAGCUAUUCCGAUAUCGACAGUUGCUUCAGAAUCCGCUUUCAGUACUAGUGGUCGGGUACUUGAUUGUUUUAGGAGUUCAUUGACUCCUAAUGUGGUAGAAAGUCUUAUUUGUACUCAAGAUUGGCUUCGGUUAAAUUUACAAUCACUCAACGUUGAAGAAAUUUUAGAGGAUGUGGAAAAACUUGAAAAUGAUUUCUCAAAAAUCAUAAUGGACUCGUCUUCUUCGACAACACCGGUGACAUAAGGAUCAAUGGUUUAUUUGGAAAGGAUUGCUAAGGACACAUAGCUAUGUUGGGGUUGACCUUGCUGCUUUCUGUUUUGAUGUUGCUCUCUGCUGUAUACGUGAAAGCUGCCAUCCAAAUUAUGAAUUUUUUAUCUUGAUGUAACCAAACAAUUGUGUGAAGUUUUUUGUAUGUC